RNAcentral lists this ribosomal RNA (99 nucleotides) under Fructilactobacillus sanfranciscensis. Its description in RNAcentral is "Lactobacillus sanfranciscensis partial 16S ribosomal RNA". It matches the Rfam family "Bacterial small subunit ribosomal RNA", at positions 1 to 92 of the family's 1533-position model. Lineage: Bacteria; Bacillati; Bacillota; Bacilli; Lactobacillales; Lactobacillaceae. The record is from RNAcentral.
UUUUUAAAAUGAGAGUUUGAUCCUGGCUCAGGACGAACGUUGGCGGCGUGCCUAAUACAUGCAAGUCGAACGAAGUCGCCUAAUUGAUUCUUGAUGCUU